AGAGUUUGAUCCUGGCUCAGGAUGAACGCUAGCGGCAGGCUUAACACAUGCAAGUCGAGGGGCAGCAUAAUGGAUAGCAAUAUCUAUGGUGGCGACCGGCGCACGGGUGCGUAACGCGUAUGCAACCUACCUUUAACAGGGGGAUAACACUGAGAAAUUGGUACUAAUACCCCAUAAUAUCGUAGAAGGCAUCUUUUAUGGUUGAAAAUUCCGAUGGUUAGAGAUGGGCAUGCGUUGUAUUAGCUAGUUGGUGGGGUAACGGCUCACCAAGGCGACGAUACAUAGGGGGACUGAGAGGUUAACCCCCCANACUGGUACUGAGACACGGACCAGACUCCUACGAGAGGCA
Molecule: ribosomal RNA, 349 nt
Filed under: uncultured bacterium
Lineage: Bacteria
Description: bacterial SSU rRNA
Rfam family: Bacterial small subunit ribosomal RNA
Source: RNAcentral